RNAcentral lists this ribosomal RNA (248 nucleotides) under uncultured Anaerolineaceae bacterium. RNAcentral's name for it is "partial 16S ribosomal RNA". It matches the Rfam family "Bacterial small subunit ribosomal RNA", at positions 796 to 1041 of the family's 1533-position model. The record is from RNAcentral. Lineage: Bacteria; Bacillati; Chloroflexota; Anaerolineae; Anaerolineales; Anaerolineaceae.
CUAGCCGUAAACGAUGUAGACUUGGCGUCGGUGGUUUAAUAUCCAUCGGUGUCGUAGCUAACGCGAUAAGUCUACCGCCUGGGGACUACGGCCGCAAGGUUAAAACUCAAAGGAAUUGACGGGUCCCCGCACAAGCAGCGGAGCGUGUGGUUUAAUUCGUUGCUACACGAAGAACCUUACCUGGGUUUGACAUAAAGGUGGUAGGGAGCCGAAAGGUGACCGACCCUUCGGGGAGCCUUUACAGGUGU